AUGGCCGCACCCUCGGAGGCUAGCGGAUCGCGAUCCAAAACCCCCGAAGACCCUAGUGUUUUGCUGGAGCGUUUGCAUCUGGAGGAGGAUGAAUUGGAUAAUUUGGUGUGGGAAGAAGCGAACGAACCAGAUGAGAAGCCGAAGUGGCUUGCGCUGGCCAGGGUUUUGACGAACAAAUCCUUUGGGCAGGGGGCGUUGAUCGCCGACAUGAAAGCGGCUUGGAACCCUGCCAAGGAGGUGGUUUGGAGAAGAAUUAACCCUAACCUGUUUUCGGUACAAUUUAAUUGUCUAGCAGACUGGAAUAAGGCGCUCCAUCAGGAUCCUUGGGAUUUCAAGGGCAUGGCCCUGAUCAUUGCUGAGUAUGAUGGUUUCAAGAACCCGGAAUCAGUAAAGUUGGAUAAAAUUGAGAUGUGGUGUCAGAUCCACCGACUCCCGGAUAUGGUGCUUAAGAGGGAGCAGUUCGUGAAGAACAUGGCGCAGCGCAUAGGUGAAGUGGUCGAGCUACAGAUUGUUCUGCCAAAUGGAUUUAUUGGUGAGUUCGUACGGGUUAGAGUUAAACUCGGCGUCACAAAAAAGCUGACAAGGUUUGUUGGCUUUACAAAGGGAGGAGAAACUGAAUAUUACCAAGUCAAGUUUGAGAAACUCCCUGUUUUCUGUUAUAUGUGUGGCCUGCUAGGGCACUGGCAUGAAGAAUGUGGAUCCGGUGAACAUGAUGAUAAAGAUAUGGAGUGGGGUCCUUUUAUACUUGCUGCUAGAAGGGGCGCCAAUGCUAACCGGACCCCGGGCAGAGGCUAUGGUCGCAGCUCGGAACGGGAUGCAGGUGUCUUUGGUGAUGAGGGUGAUGUGAACGACUAUGGCAGGGGCCGGGGAACCGAUAGAUCCCAUGUCCGAGGUCGCGGUAAUGAGCACCAGAACUUUGUUCCAACUUUAGACCCCACUGGACGGGGUCAAUUCAUGCAAAAGAGCUGGCGUUUCAAUGCUACAAACACCUUGUAUGACCCCGGGGGUUCAGCUGGCCACUGCUGUUGGGGGGCAGAUGACUCGAGCACUUCACACACCAUUACUGGUGAAGAAGUGGUAGACAUGAUUGUGGGCGCCCUUGUCCCGCUGGGGAUCAUAGCAGACAGGGUGGCUAAGUUUGAGGGACCUGAUCCACCUAACAUCUCUAAUGGUGGAACUCCUCAAAAGAAUGCAAACCGGAAAAAAAUAUAA
Molecule: ribosomal RNA, 1212 nt
Filed under: Triticum aestivum (bread wheat)
Lineage: Eukaryota; Viridiplantae; Streptophyta; Magnoliopsida; Poales; Poaceae
Description: partial small subunit ribosomal RNA
Source: RNAcentral